Molecule: ribosomal RNA, 497 nt
Filed under: uncultured bacterium
Lineage: Bacteria
Description: partial 16S ribosomal RNA
Rfam family: Bacterial small subunit ribosomal RNA
Source: RNAcentral
GAUGAACGCUGGCGGCGUGCCUAAUACAUGCAAGUCGAGCGAACAGACGAGGAGCUUGCUCCUCUGACGUUAGCGGCGGACGUGUGAGUCACACGUGUAUAACCUACCUAUAAGACUGGUAUAACUUCGGGAAACCGGCUCUAAUACCGUAUAAUAUAUUGAACCGCAUGGUUCAAUAGUGAAAGACGGUUUUGCUGUCUCUUAUAGAUGGAUCCGCGCCGCAUUAGCUAGUUGUUAAGGUAACGGCUUAGCAAGGCAACGAUGCGUAGCCGACCGGAGAGGGUGAUAGGCCACACUGGAACUGAGACACGGUCCAGACUCCUACGGGAGGCAGCAGUAGGGAAUCUUCCGCAAUGGGCGAAAGCCUGACGGAGCAACGGCGAGUGAGUGAUGAAGGUGUUCGGAGCGUAAAACUCUGUUAUUAGGGAAGAACAAAUGUGUAAGUAACUAUGCACGUCUUGACGGUACCUAAUCAGAAAGCAACGGCUAACUACGUG